This 155-nucleotide ribosomal RNA is filed under the name Acrotylus patruelis. RNAcentral describes it as "5.8S ribosomal RNA". It matches the Rfam family "5.8S ribosomal RNA". From Rfam's summary of the family: 5.8S ribosomal RNA (5.8S rRNA) is a component of the large subunit of the eukaryotic ribosome. It is transcribed by RNA polymerase I as part of the 45S precursor that also contains 18S and 28S rRNA. Functionally, it is thought that 5.8S rRNA may be involved in ribosome translocation. The record is from RNAcentral. Lineage: Eukaryota; Metazoa; Arthropoda; Insecta; Orthoptera; Acrididae.
CACCCAGGACGGUGGAUCACUCGGCUCGUGGGUCUAUGAAGAACGCAGCAAAUUGCGCGUCGACAUGUGAACUGCAGGACACAUGAACAUCGACGUUUCGAACGCACAUUGCGGUCCAUGGAUUCCGUUCCCGGGCCACGUCUGGCUGAGGGUCG